RNAcentral lists this ribosomal RNA (321 nucleotides) under Staphylococcus aureus. Its description in RNAcentral is "partial 23S ribosomal RNA". It matches the Rfam family "Bacterial large subunit ribosomal RNA", at positions 1135 to 1461 of the family's 2925-position model. Lineage: Bacteria; Bacillati; Bacillota; Bacilli; Caryophanales; Staphylococcaceae. The record is from RNAcentral.
UAAUAGCUCACUAGUCGAGUGACACUGCGCCGAAAAUGUACCGGGGCUAAACAUAUUACCGAAGCUGUGGAUUGUCCUUUGGACAAUGGUAGGAGAGCGUUCUAAGGGCGUUGAAGCAUGAUCGUAAGGACAUGUGGAGCGCUUAGAAGUGAGAAUGCCGGUGUGAGUAGCGAAAGACGGGUGAGAAUCCCGUCCACCGAUUGACUAAGGUUUCCAGAGGAAGGCUCGUCCGCUCUGGGUUAGUCGGGUCCUAAGCUGAGGCCGACAGGCGUAGGCGAUGGAUAACAGGUUGAUAUUCCUGUACCACCUAUAAUCGUUUUA